This is a long non-coding RNA of Anguilla rostrata (American eel), 4551 nucleotides long. RefSeq lists it as uncharacterized. The record is from RefSeq and is a predicted model, not a curated record. Lineage: Eukaryota; Metazoa; Chordata; Actinopteri; Anguilliformes; Anguillidae. The transcript has 3 exons.
CUGCUGCUGGUGCUGGUGCUGUGACUGGCCGCGGGGGUAGAGCGCCAGGUGGUCCUCCGCCAGGGUGACGGCGGCCGCCAACCCGGUCGGUCGAUGGCACCUCACCCAGUUCGCUGUCUCCCCCGGGAGGCUAUCGAUAAACCGUUCAAGUGUCACCAGCUCUACCACUCCGUCGGCUGACCGGAGUUCCGGUCGGAGCCACCGUCGGGCCAUAUCCAGCAGUCUCUGGGCGUAGGCGAAUGGCCGGUCCUCUCCUGCCAGAGCCGUCUGUCGGAACCGCCGCCGGUGCUCUUCCGGGCUGUACCCCAGGCGGUCCAGGACCGCCUUCUUUAGGUUUAGGUAGACAGCCCGCGCGGUGGGGGGUAAGCUGUGCGCCGCCUGUUGGGCUUCCCCAGUCAAGAGGGGCAGGAGGCGGACGACCCACUCCUCCUCCGGCCAUUGACUCGCCUUCGCUGCCACUUCAAACCCCUCCAGGAAUGCCUCAGCAUCGUCCUCCGGGGUCAUCUUAGGCAAGUGAAGAGCUACGGGGGGUUUGUUCUGUCGCUCGCGGGAGCUAGUUUCUCCCGCAGCAGCCAGCUGCAGUAGAGCCUGCGUCUGCAGGGAUGUCUGUGCUCGCAGAGCCUCAAGUUGCUCGGCGUGCAUCACCGCCUGCCUUUCUUGCAUUGCUGCCAUCCCCUCCAGCAUCCUCGCAAGCGCUACCACUGGCUGUGCCGGUUCCCCCUGCUCCUGGCUGUGUUCCAUUUUUUCUCCUUUGUGCAGUGUGUUUAAUUCGAGUCUCCCUCGCACGGGCCACCACUGUGGCAAAUGAGUGCCACCCCUCCUAACCCAAACACACUCACGGGAGACACUGUUUUCAGUUCGUAGCACUUGCGUGCUAUUUUAUUUAAGCCCGUGGCUUUUUCUUGGUUACAAUAAAUCACAGCGCUUUUUCUCGCCGUCAUAGCUAUUUGUACAGAAACAGUAUUUGUGGAAUUAAGGGGUACCACUGCUGGUUGGUGUGUACAAACCUGCUGUCACAUGACUCUGACUCCCAUUUCAUUUCAGGUAAAAUAAGACCAGCUGUGGAAGACAAAAAUGAAAAACCCCCAGGAGUCGCUGAGGUGACCUGUGCUGAAGUUCUGACCAAUGACAGGACACAGGAGCUGAGUGACGUGGUUUAGUCCAAUGUGAAUCCACACCAGUGCUCACAGAGCCCUCCCCCACGGGACCGAGUUGUGUACUCUACUGCUAACUAAUGAAAGGCCCACGUUUAGACGUUUUAGACAACGCUGCCAGACAGCCACUCCACACUCACCAGAAUUGCCUCAUGCUGAGAUUUUAUUUUGUUUCUUAUUCAAACCUGGGUCAAAUUUAAUAUGGCGACCUGCUAACAUUCGAAAACAGUUGUUCAGUUGUUCCCUGAGAAUUUUUACCAAAAUGUGUCCCUCAUCAAAACGUGUAAUUACAUAAGCCUUAUAAUUAUAUGAAAAUGUCAUUGAAUGGAAAUUCGAAUUAUAUGAAAAUAAGAUUCAUUUUCAUCUGAAUGUUUUGCAAGAAAAGAUGUUGCUUUUUAAAUUGUCAAUGGUCUGUAGGAGUUUCACUGCUGACUAAAGAAUUAAAGUAUUUGACCCUGGUGUGCUUGCUGUGACAUUACUGCAUUAUAAAAGUCUACAACCCUUUCUGUGUAAAAACAGUUUGAGCAGUGUAAUACCAUUUGAGCUUUGCAUGCAAACCAAUUGCUGCAACAUUGGUACAUGGAAAGGGUAUGACACCUGUGUUCCAUCCAUCCAUCCAUCCAUCCAUCAUCUAGAUCCUCAGGGUCGCGGGGGAUGCUGGAGCCUAUUCCAGGAUGCAUUGGGCGAGAUGCAGGAAUACACCCAGGACAGUUUGCCAGUCCACUGCUGGGCAACCUGUAUACCAGUUUAAUGGAAUUCAGAAAUAAGGGUGUGGAGGGCUGGUGUGGUUAGGGCGCUAUAUGCAGGUGGAGAGGGAGCGGUUUAGGUGGUUCAGCAACCACGGCUGUUUGCAAUUACGACUGAUUGGAAACUGUUUAUAUGUUCUGCCUGCAGUGAGACCGGGGCACUGAAUGAGAGACGCACGCGGGGGCGACGUGCUGUGUAAUCCCCUUCCUUACCGUGUGUGUGUGUGUGUGUGUGUGUGUGUGUACGUCCAUGUAACCAGCACACAAUAAAACCUGAGUGCGUCCCAGAACUGAGGAUUGUGUGGUUUGUGGAGAGAAGGACUACAAAUUGUGUUACAAAGGGGUAUCCUAGUAGAUUGUUAGUUUGCAUGUUUUUCGCUGUUACUUGGUUUUGAAUACAGCCAUUUAACAGGAGUUCUUCAUAUUUGGAGAAAGCUGGUUUGGCACAUUGACUAAACAUGUAUAAAUUAGAAUAUAAAACCCCCUCAGAGGUGGGCUGCUUUUAACUGACAGAACAUUACAGUUGCAUGAAGGAUUGUAAAUAACCAUUUCCUCAAUGUCCAAAUUCCUUUUUUAAGAAGACACAGAAAUCACAGGCUUUUUAUUUAUGAAUGCAAGUUCAACAAUACGACAACAACAUUUCUUCAAGUGUAUAACUCAUGUAUGCUACUAGCCUAACUGAUGUAUCUGCGCUACUAGUACAGACUGAUUGUGAUUGUGAUCUGUGGUGGGUAAACAGAAAAGGGGCCGGACAUUUUGUCUUUCAGCAUGCAUCCUCAGUGAAGUCACACAUGAAAUGCACUCAAAAUGGAAUACACGCAUUUACUGUGCAUUUCAGCAUAAAGCAGCAUGGUGCGCAUGAAAGCAUUUUCCUCCCUACAAACACCUUGUGGGAAGAAGGCAUGCUGUCAAAACACAUUGACAACAUCAAAUACGUUAUAUACAAACAGUAGAAUGCAUAUACUUUUUUCUGGCAUCAUUAAAAAUGUUCAGGAGCUUAUUAGUACUCACUGUAUGUCUGCAGCAUGCAUAAACUGUGCAAGAGGAUGCAGUGACUGCUGAGCAUCAGAUCUCAUAAUAUUUUUUUUUGUUGGGGGGGGGGGGGGGGGGGGGCAGUGUGUAUGCAGGUUCCGUUUCUGCCAGUUAGGCCCUGAGUCAAUUAGUUCCUCAUCAUGAUAAACCAACUCUGGUACAUACCAAGAUAAAGUCCACAUACCACAGUACAUCAUAUGGGGACACACAAUCAUGGACAAAAUCAUUCAUGAGCUUGUCCAGAUAUGUAGCUGAAAUGUCAGACCACAUGAAUGACGAACCUGUGCAGAAUUAUGAUAUUAAAUACUGCUUUCAUGUUUCAUGUUGUUUUCAUGUAAUCACCAUGCUGUCCACUAGCUCUCUCUACUGGGAAAUCUGCUGAAUGGGAAUGAAAGUUACAAAAUGGAAAGUAAACUGUUAAUGAACUGUUUAAAAAAAUUAUGUGUGUGUAAAUUAAUAUCUGUACAGCUUAGCAGAAUUUAUGUUAACUAGUGUUUAAUGCGCAAACGUGAAAUCUACAAAUAAUUAAACUUAAAAAUGCAAAUAAAUACAUUUUGAUUCAUUGAUGGUCAAGUUAGGUCAUGCUUUGUAGUCUGGAGACGGGAAGAAAAAAUGAAUGAGGAACAUUUUUUUUACUUUUUAAGAAAAGAAAUAGCCAUCUUUUACUUUUGCUCUCAGUGUUCUGAGGUGCUCUGGUUUGAGCAGAACGAUCGGCUUCCUGUCGACUUUUAGACAUCGUAUCUAGGGUAUCAGAUACUAUAUUUUACAUACUUUAACCUUUUAGACAGAUGAGUAACUUGUAUGACUUUUCUUCUUUCACGCGGCUGUUUUUUGAUAAAAAUUCUCGGGUAUGAAAGGUGUUUUCAAUUUCAUAGUCAUGGUCCAGCCCUAUAAAUUUUGAGCAUUAAGACAACUUCUUGGUGAACAGCAAGAGGAAAUAUCAUCACAUGAUCAGUUAAAAAUAGUAAAUAAUAAUAAAGCUUUAGAAAAUUGGGGUAAUGCGACACAGGAAUCUAAUUGAGGAAGUCCACUGUUGUGCCUGUACAGUGUUGUGACACAGAGUACUGAGGAGCAGCCUGUAGUUUUCUGACUAUGGAUUCCGCUAUCUUUAUUCUGCUUCUCAUUUUAGGUUGUCACUUAUCAAGGGGACAGGACAGAGUAGACGCAUCAGGAAGGGUUUUGCUGCGAUUGCCUUUUGAUCCGUAUUUCAAUUAUUAUGAAAAGUUCUGCUGCAGAUUUUACCAAGGUGUUUGUCUUCCUUUUGUGGACAACAGAGGAUAUGCCGGUGACAUCUACAAGGGAAGAAUAUCUCUAAUCGAAUACAAUGGAUGUAUGGAUGUGACAAUCUGGAAUUUACAAAAGUCAGACAGUGGACUGUACCGAUGUGCCAUAACUGAUUCACCCUAUCACGUUUACAAGGACUUCAUAGUUGUAAUACCAGGUAAGGCCCGUAUCGCUGAACAGCCUAUGCUGAUUAUCUCAAUGCCCAUUCAAAGUGCUGUUGUCUCAGAAAAGUUUGUUACAGGAGCCAAUCACUGCAUUUCCGCUGAUUCGGUUUCCUGGGUCUUUCAUUAUUAUGAGAGUUAUCUACUGAAAAAAUACUACUCGGGAUUCAUGUC